RNAcentral lists this ribosomal RNA (253 nucleotides) under uncultured bacterium. Its description in RNAcentral is "partial 16S ribosomal RNA". It matches the Rfam family "Bacterial small subunit ribosomal RNA", at positions 524 to 776 of the family's 1533-position model. The record is from RNAcentral.
UACGGAGGAGGCAAGCGUUAUCCGGAAUGAUUGGGCGUAAAGCGUCCGUAGGUGGCAGUUCAAGUCUGCUGUCAAAGACAGUAGCUCAACUACUGAAAGGCAGUGGAAACUGAACAGCUAGAGUACGGUAGGGGCAGAGGGAAUUCCCGGUGUAGCGGUGAAAUGCGUAGAUAUCGGGAAGGACACCGGUGGCGAAAGCGCUCUGCUGGGCCGUAACUGACACUGAGGGACGAAAGCUAGGGGAGCGAAUGGG